UGGCGUAAACANAGGGAAGCGAGCCCGCGAGGGGGAGGCGAAUCCCAAAAACAACGUCCCAGUUCGGAUUGUAGGCUGCAACCCGCCUGUAUGAAGUUGGAAUCGCUAGUAAUCGCGGAUCAGCAUGCCGCGGUGAAUACGUUCCCGGGCCUUGUACACACCGCCCGUCACACCAUGGGAGUCGGUAACACCCGAAGCCUGUAGUCUAACCGCAAGGGGGACGCAGUCGAAGGUGGGAUUGAUGACUGGGGUGAAGUCGUAACAAGGUAUC
This 271-nucleotide ribosomal RNA is filed under the name uncultured bacterium. RNAcentral describes it as "partial 16S ribosomal RNA". It matches the Rfam family "Bacterial small subunit ribosomal RNA", at positions 1231 to 1500 of the family's 1533-position model. The record is from RNAcentral.